Molecule: ribosomal RNA, 253 nt
Filed under: uncultured bacterium
Lineage: Bacteria
Description: partial 16S ribosomal RNA
Rfam family: Bacterial small subunit ribosomal RNA
Source: RNAcentral
UACGAAGGGGGCUAGCGUUGCUCGGAAUCACUGGGCGUAAAGCGCACGUAGGCGGCUUUCUAAGUCAGGGGUGAAAUCCUGGAGCUCAACUCCAGAACUGCCUUUGAUACUGGAGAGCUUGAGUUCGGGAGAGGUGAGUGGAACUGCGAGAGUAGAGCUGAAAUUCGUAGAUAUACGCAAGAACACCAGUGGCGAAGGCGGCUCACUGGCCCGAUACUGACGCUGAGGCACGAAAGCGUGGGGAGCAAACAGG